This 651-nucleotide ribosomal RNA is filed under the name uncultured bacterium. RNAcentral's name for it is "bacterial SSU rRNA". It matches the Rfam family "Bacterial small subunit ribosomal RNA", at positions 33 to 702 of the family's 1533-position model. The record is from RNAcentral.
ACGCUGGCGGCAUGCCUAACACAUGCAAGUCGAACGAGACCUUCGGGUCUAGUGGCGCACGGGUGCGUAACGCGUGGGAAUCUGCCCUUGGGUUCGGAAUAACAGCUAGAAAUGGCUGCUAAUACCGGAUGAUGACGUAAGUCCAAAGAUUUAUCGCCCAAGGAUGAGCCCGCGUAGGAUUAGCUAGUUGGUGAGGUAAAAGCUCACCAAGGCGACGAUCCGUAACUGGUCUGAGAGGAUGAUCAGUCACACUGGAACUGAGACACGGUCCAGACUCCUACGGGAGGCAGCAGUGGGGAAUAUUGGACAAUGGGCGAAAGCCUGAUCCAGCCAUGCCGCGUGUGUGAAGAAGGUCUUCGGAUUGUAAAGCACUUUAAGUUGGGAGGAAGGGUUGUAGAUUAAUACUUUGCUGUUUUGACGUUACCGACAGAAUAAGCACCGGCUAACUCUGUGCCAGCAGCCGCGGUAAUACAGAGGGUGCAAGCGUUAAUCGGAAUUACUGGGCGUAAAGCGCGCGUAGGUGGUUCGUUAAGUUGGAUGUGAAAUCCCCGGGCUCAACCUGGGAACUGCAUUCAAAACUGACGAGCUAGAGUAUGGGUAGAGGGGUGGUGGAAAUUUCCUGUGUAGCGGUGAAAUGCGUAGAUAUAGGAA